UCAGCAUCCACCUGCCCCCGUCAGCUCAGGAUGAUGGCGAAGUCGACAGCUUGAGUCCUGGAGCCAGACAAGCUCUGUGCACAUUUGCUGCAGGACUUCAGACCACUGAAAUGCUGCUUGACAUUGAAAUGACCCUGGAGAAGAGGGAGGCUUCAGAGGAUGCUAAAACCUCACCCAGUGGAAGAAGUUAAUGACUUGACCAUGAGCACGUAGCCCCCAGACUUACCGGAGCCUGAUGUUAACCCCUGUGAUGUCACCCUGUUACCUCACCAUCAACCAUUCAGAGAAUUGUGCAUAGAUGAUCACAUACCCUGCAACCACCCUCCUUCAGCUGGCCUGUAAACGUGCUUUGGUGAAACCCCAUCAGAGAGUUUGGAUUUUUUGAGCAACAGGUACCCCAAGCUCCUUUUCUGGUGCCCUGUGAUAAACACUGCACUUUCCUUCACCACAAGCCCAUGUCAGUAGACUGGCUUUACUGGGCACUCUGGCAAGUGGAUGCAAUUUGGUUGGGUAACAAUACCACCUACGAACUUCUUUUUGUAUCCUUUUCUUUUAGCCCCCAUCAUAAAAAAAAAAAAAAAAAAAGAAUAGGCAA
Long non-coding RNA from Cervus elaphus (red deer), 595 nucleotides. RefSeq lists it as uncharacterized. The transcript is spliced from 3 exons. NCBI's taxonomy places the organism in Eukaryota, Metazoa, Chordata, Mammalia, Artiodactyla, Cervidae. The record is from RefSeq and is a predicted model, not a curated record.